RNAcentral lists this ribosomal RNA (247 nucleotides) under uncultured bacterium. RNAcentral's name for it is "partial 16S ribosomal RNA". It matches the Rfam family "Bacterial small subunit ribosomal RNA", at positions 524 to 772 of the family's 1533-position model. The record is from RNAcentral.
UACGUAGGUGGCAAGCGUUGUCCGGAUUUACUGGGCGUAAAGAGCGCGCAGGCGGUCGUUCAAGUCGCGUGUGAAAGCCCCCGGCUCAACUGGGAGGGUCACGCGAUACUGAUCGACUCGAAGGCAGGAGAGGGUAGUGGAAUUCCCGGUGUAGUGGUGAAAUGCGUAGAUAUCGGGAGGAACACCAGUGGCGAAGGCGACUACCUGGCCUGUUCUGACGCUGAGGCGCGAAAGCUGAGGGAGCAAC